This 355-nucleotide unclassified non-coding RNA is filed under the name soil metagenome. RNAcentral's name for it is "partial contains 5.8S ribosomal RNA, internal transcribed spacer 2, and large subunit ribosomal RNA". The stretch from base 1 to 120 matches the Rfam family "5.8S ribosomal RNA", at positions 35 to 154 of the family's 154-position model. The record is from RNAcentral.
GAUGAAGAACGUAGCGAAAUGCGAUAAGUAGUGUGAAUUGCAGAAUUCAGUGAAUCAUCGAAUCUUUGAACGCACAUUGCGCCUUCUAGUAUUCUGGGAGGCAUGCCUGUUUGAGCGUCAUUAAACCUCUCUCAAGUAUGAUUACUUGGAUGUGAAGGAAGAGUACCUUAAACUUAAGGAGUGUUCUCCUUUGAAAUUGAUUAGCAGAUGGUAAUGUUAUUAAAUCCCUGAUGUUGUAAGAAAUAACAGUGGUUUUGUAGACUAUUAUCUAGCUUUAAAUUAUAAUUUUUAUUAUGGUUGACCUCAAAUCAGGUAAGGAUACCCGCUGAACUUAAGCAUAUCAAUAAGCUGAGGA